Molecule: ribosomal RNA, 448 nt
Filed under: uncultured bacterium
Lineage: Bacteria
Description: partial 16S ribosomal RNA
Rfam family: Bacterial small subunit ribosomal RNA
Source: RNAcentral
AACGAACGCUGGCGGCAGGCUUAACACAUGCAAGUCGAACGCCCCGCAAGGGGAGUGUCAGACGGGUGAGUAACACGUGGGAACGUACCCUUUGGUUCGGAAUAACUUGGGGAAACUCAAGCUAAUACCGGAUAAGCCCUUAUGGGGAAAGGUUUAGCUGCCGAAGGAUCGGCCCGCGUCUGGUUAGCUAUUGGGUGAGGUCAUGGCUCACCAAGGCGACGAUCAGUAGCUGGUCUGAGAGGAGGAUCAGCCAAACCGGGACCGAGCCACGGCCCAGAGUCCUAGGGGAGGCAGGAGUGGGCAAUAUUGGACCGUGGGGGCAACCUAGAGCCGGCCAUGCCGCGUGAAUGAUACAGGCCUUAGGGUUGUAAAGCUCUUUUACCCGGGACGAUAAUGACUGUACCGGGAGAAUAAGCCCCGGCUAACUUCGUGCCAGAAGCCGCAGUAA